GGAGAGGUCGCAUAGUGGCCUAGUGCAGAGGUUUACUAAACCUCCGUCCUGUCAAAGGGACCGCGAGUUCGAAUCUCGCCCUCUCCG
Molecule: transfer RNA, 87 nt
Filed under: Candidatus Gottesmanbacteria bacterium RIFCSPHIGHO2_02_FULL_39_11
Lineage: Bacteria; Candidatus Gottesmaniibacteriota
Description: tRNA-Ser
Rfam family: tRNA
About the family: Transfer RNA (tRNA) molecules are approximately 80 nucleotides in length. Their secondary structure includes four short double-helical elements and three loops (D, anti-codon, and T loops). Further hydrogen bonds mediate the characteristic L-shaped molecular structure. tRNAs have two regions of fundamental functional importance: the anti-codon, which is responsible for specific mRNA codon recognition, and the 3' end, to which the tRNAs corresponding amino acid is attached (by aminoacyl-tRNA synthetases). tRNAs cope with the degeneracy of the genetic code in two manners: having more than one tRNA (with a specific anti-codon) for a particular amino acid; and 'wobble' base-pairing, i.e. permitting non-standard base-pairing at the 3rd anti-codon position.
Source: RNAcentral